AAUAUCAAAGGUGAGCCAGUACAGGAUGGACCCGCGUCUGAUUAGCUAGUUGGUAAGGUAACGGCUUACCAAGGCGACGAUCAGUAGCCGACCUGCGAGGGUGAUCGGCCACAUUGGAACUGAGACACGGUCCAAACUCCUACGGGAGGCAGCAGUGGGGAAUAUUGCACAAUGGGCGAAAGCCUGAUGCAGCAACGCCGCGUGAGUGAUGAAGGCC
This 217-nucleotide ribosomal RNA is filed under the name Clostridioides difficile. RNAcentral's name for it is "partial 16S ribosomal RNA". It matches the Rfam family "Bacterial small subunit ribosomal RNA", at positions 197 to 416 of the family's 1533-position model. The record is from RNAcentral. Lineage: Bacteria; Bacillati; Bacillota; Clostridia; Peptostreptococcales; Peptostreptococcaceae.